RNAcentral lists this ribosomal RNA (440 nucleotides) under uncultured bacterium. RNAcentral's name for it is "partial 16S ribosomal RNA". It matches the Rfam family "Bacterial small subunit ribosomal RNA", at positions 338 to 795 of the family's 1533-position model. The record is from RNAcentral.
CCUACGGGUGGCAGCAGUAGGGAAUAUUGCGCAAUGGGCGAAACCCUGAAGCAGCAACGCCGCGUGAAGGAUGAAGGUUUUCGGGUUGUAAACUCCUUUUGUUAGAGAAGAUGAUAACGAUGUUUCCCGAAUAAUCACCCACUACCUCCUUGCCAGCAGCCGCCGUAAUACGUAGGAUGCAAGCGUUACUCGGAGUCACUGGGCGGAAAGAGCGCGUAGGCGGGAUAGCAAGUCAGAUGUGAAAUCAUAGGGCGUAACGAUAGAACUGCAUUUGAAACUGUUAUUCUAGAGUGUGGGAGAGGUAGGUGGAAUUCGUGGUGUAGGGGUAAAAGCCGUAGAUAGACGGAGGAACACCAGUGGCGAAGGCGGCCUACUGGACGGUGACUGACGCUGAGGCUCGAAAGCGUGGGGAGCAAACAGGAUUAGAUACCCGAGUAGUC